Molecule: ribosomal RNA, 492 nt
Filed under: uncultured bacterium
Lineage: Bacteria
Description: partial 16S ribosomal RNA
Rfam family: Bacterial small subunit ribosomal RNA
Source: RNAcentral
AGUGAACGCUGGCGGUAGGCCUAACACAUGCAAGUCGAACGGCAACACAGUAAGAGCUUGCUCUUACGGGUGGCGAGUGGCGGACGGGUGAGGAAUACAUCGGAAUCUACUUUUUCGUGGAGGAUCACGUAGGGAAACUUACGCUAAUAUCGCAUAUGACCUACGGGUGAAAGCAGGGGAUCGUCGGACCUUGCGCGAUUGAAUGCGCCGAUGUCGGAUUAGCUAGUUGGCGGGGUAAAGGCCCACAAAGGCGACGAUCGGUAGCUGGUCCGAGAGAAUGAUAGGCCACACUGGAACUGCGACACGGUCCAGACUCCUACGAGAGGCAGCAGUGGAGAAUGUUGGGCAAUGGGCGGAAGCCUGCUCCAGCCAUACCGCGUGGGUGAAGGAGGCCUUCGGGUUGUAAAGCCGUUUUGUUGGGAAAGAAAAGCAGCAGGUUAAUACCACGCUGUUCUGACGGUACCCAAAGAAUAAGCACCGGCUAACUUCGUG